Molecule: RNA transcript, 2328 nt
Organism: Quercus lobata
Lineage: Eukaryota; Viridiplantae; Streptophyta; Magnoliopsida; Fagales; Fagaceae
Gene name: putative pentatricopeptide repeat-containing protein At3g15130
Exons: 1
Source: RefSeq, a predicted model, not a curated record
GCCAUGAACUAAUUUUGUUAAAGAUAUUUGAGUAAGCAGCUCAGUUGGAAAAAUAAUGUGUGAGCGACAGAGAAUUGCAGGGAUACUGAGGAAGUGUUCGAAGAAUUUGUUAUUUGGUCAAGGAUUGCAAACUCAUGGGUGUGUAGUGAAAAUGGGAUUUGAGCUUGAUUUGAUGUUAAACAAUGAUCUUAUAGAUAUGUAUGGAAAAUGUGGUAGAAUGGACCUUGCUUGUGCUGUGUUUGAUGGAAUGCUUGAAAGAAACGUGGUUUCUUGGACAUCUCUAAUGUGUGGCUACUUACAAAGUGGUAACGCCAUCAAGUCAUUAUUGCUUUUCCGCAAAAUGGGAUCUUCUGAAAUUAAGCCAAAUGAGUUCACACUUUCGACUAAUCUUAAAGCAUCUGGGAUUUUGGGCAUUAUUAAGAAUGGAAUGCAGAUUCAUGGUGUUUGUGCUAAAACUGGGUUUGAAUGGGUGCCAGCGGUGGCCAAUUCUAUUAUUGACAUGUAUUCAAAAUGCGGAAGAAUCAGUGAGGCGGCACGAUUGUUUAACAUUAUGCCAGUUAGGGAUCUUAUCAGUUGGAAUGCGAUGAUAGCUGGAUACGCACUUGAAGGAAUUGGUGACAGAGCUCUACUUUUGUUUCGGAAAAUGCAAGAACAGGGGGAAGUCCCCGAUGAAUUCACGUAUACCAGCACGUUAAAGGCUUGCAGUGGUCUUGGAGCCAUGAGGGAAGGGAGCCAAAUGCAUGCUUCAUUGAUCACAAGAGGAUUCCCAUGCUCAAUUCAAACAACUAUUGCAGGUGCUCUCGUUGAUAUGUAUGCCAAGUGUAGGAACUUGUUCAAAGCUCACAGAGUAUUUGAUCAAAUUGAACUGAAGAAUGUGAUAUCUUGGAGUGCACUAAUCCUUGGUUAUGCUCAACAAGGCAAUUUACCAGAGGCAAUGGACUUGUUUAGGCAGCUCAGGGAAAACCAAUAUCAUGUAGAUGGAUUUAUUCUCUCGGGCCUGAUGGGUGUUUUUGCUGAUUUUGCCCUUGUAGAGCAAGGCAAGCAAAUGCAUGCUUACAACAUCAAAGUCCCAUCUGGUUUAGACAUAUUAGUGGCCAAUUCAAUGGUGGACAUGUAUCUCAAAUGUGGGCUAACAGAAGAUGCAGAAAGACUUUUCAGUGAAAUGCUGGUGAGAAACGUGAUUUCUUGGACAGUUAUGAUCACUGGCUAUGGAAAGCAUGGUCUGGGAAAAGAAGCAAUUCGUCUUUUCAACAAAAUGCAGUUGGAUAAUAUUGAGCCUGAUGAUGUGACUUAUUUGGCUGUGCUCUCAGCCUGCAGCCAUUCUGGACUCAUUGAUGAAUGUCAAGAAUACUUCUCAAGAUUGUGUAGUGACCGGCGGAUUAAACCAAGAGUAGAGCACUAUGCUUGUAUGGUUGAUCUCCUUGGCCGAGCUGGACGCUUAAAAGAAGCUAAGAAUCUUAUUGAGAGCAUGCCACUAAAACCAAAUGUAGGUAUAUGGCAGACACUUAUUAGUGCUUGUAGAGUGCAUGGAGACCUGGAUAUGGGGAGGGAAGUAGGAGACAUACUUCUGAGAAUGGAUGGCAGCAAUCCAGUCAAUUAUGUGAUGGUCUCAAAUAUUUUUGCUGAUGCAGGCUAUUGGAAAGAGUGUGAGAAAAUAAGGGAAACAGUGAGGAUAAAGGGGUUAAAGAAAGAGGCAGCACUCAGUUGGUAGAGAUUGACAAGGAGGUUCACUUUUUCUACAAUGGAGAGGACACACACCCACUUACAGAGAAAAUACAUGAAGUCUUGAAGGAAAUGGAGAAGAAGAUUAAAGAAGAGGUGGGUUGUGUUCAUGGGGUGUGGUUUGCACCGCAUGAUGUGGAAGAAGAGUCAAAGGAGGAGAGCUUGAGAGUUCAUGGUGAGAAGUUGGCAUUGGUUUGUGGUGGGUUGGGAAAUGAAGUAAGGAGGGUGAUUAGGAUUUUCAAGAACUUGAGAGUUUGUGGGGAUUGUCAUACAUUCAUUUAAAGUUUGACAAAGUUUUGAAGGUGGUAUUCAUUGAGAGAGAUGCAAAUAGUUUUCACAAGUUUGAGGAUGGUUUGUGCUCCCUCAUGACACAGUUUACUCACCUUGAAUUGUAUUUUAUCGUAGUCUGUUCUCUUGUUCUUACCAUGACUUCUCCAAACCCUGCAAAAUUGAGAGUUUUGACUUUUGUGCAUUGAGUAUGAUCUAUUUGUUAAUAAAGAUGGUCAUUUUAUUAGAGAAUCUAGGUAGUGAGCCAAAUUAGUUAUGGUUAAUAUUUUUCUGCUUAUGUUUAUACAUUAACAGUGGUGCUGAGAUAGUCAUUUGCUA